GUGAAUGCUGGCGGUAUGGAUAAGGCAUGCAAGUCACGGGGGCCGCAAGGCAACCGGCAGACGAGGUAGUAACACGUAGGAACAUACCCCGAAGUCUGGUAUAGCUCACCGAAAGGUGAGGUAAUCCCAGAUAGUCUCGCGAGAGUAAAGCUCCGGCGCUUCGGGAGUGGCCUGCGUAAUAUCAGCUAGUUGGUAAGGUAAUGGCUUACCAAGGCUAUGACGUUUAGGGGAGCUGAGAGGCUGACCCCCACCGAUGAGACUGAGACACGGCUCAUACCCCUACGGGGGGCCGCAGCCGAGAAUAUUCGACAAUGGGCGAAAGCCUGAUCGAGCGAUACCGCGUGGUGGAUGAAGCGCUUCGGCGCGUAAACACCUUUUAUGGGAGAGGAAGUUAUUGACGUUAUCCCAUGAAUAAGGGGCUCCUAACUCUGU
Molecule: ribosomal RNA, 432 nt
Filed under: uncultured bacterium
Lineage: Bacteria
Description: bacterial SSU rRNA
Rfam family: Bacterial small subunit ribosomal RNA
Source: RNAcentral